AAUAAGUUGCCUGAUAAAAGGGCUAUCUUGAUAGGAUAGAUUAUACAAAAGUUUUUGUACUUAUUA
RNAcentral lists this transfer RNA (66 nucleotides) under Forcipomyia makanensis. Its description in RNAcentral is "Forcipomyia sp. m QL-2019 tRNA-Ile". The record is from RNAcentral. Lineage: Eukaryota; Metazoa; Arthropoda; Insecta; Diptera; Ceratopogonidae.